Chelonia mydas (Green sea turtle) is the source of this 181-nucleotide long non-coding RNA. RefSeq lists it as uncharacterized. The record is from RefSeq and is a predicted model, not a curated record. NCBI's taxonomy places the organism in Eukaryota, Metazoa, Chordata, Testudines, Cheloniidae. The transcript is spliced from 2 exons.
GUUCAAACCACAGGACGGGACUCGGAGCGGGACUGUCUGCACUCUGGGGGGGGUGGGACUCUAUCGUCGCCUUUGCUGCACGCUUUGCACCUAAAUGCCCCAACCAGGAUCAGGGCCCUGUUGUGGAGUACAGACACGUGGCAAGAGACAGUCCUAACCUGAAGAGCUUACAGUCUAACUA